Molecule: long non-coding RNA, 929 nt
Organism: Ostrinia nubilalis (European corn borer)
Lineage: Eukaryota; Metazoa; Arthropoda; Insecta; Lepidoptera; Crambidae
Exons: 2
Source: RefSeq, a predicted model, not a curated record
GAAACAGAGAAAACUGCACAAAGAUUCUUUACCUACAUUGAAUUUGCCUAAAUUUGUUUUAUUUUCGUUAUGCAAUACCGAGGUGGAACCUUUUAGAUCUGUGUCAUCCCUCACGUUUAGUGAAAUACCGGGGUGGUUGGAACUUGAUUUGGUCCAUCCUGUCAUCAACUGUUUUUCAAUGGGACGACUUCUGAACAUCAGAGAGAUCUUGACUGUCAAAAUACGUGAAUUAGGCCACUGAACUUUUCAAAACAAAACCAACACAGGUGAAAUAAUAUCUGAGCAUCUCCCUUGACAACAAAUUGAAGCACCCACUCUAAGACUUACAGGAAACGAUCUAUGAAAGCAAAACAAGGAGACAGGAUAUUCCGCGAUUCUGCACAAAACCCUAAAAGAAAUACCCCUCAUCAACAGGAUAGGUACCCUGUGUACACAUCUUCGACCAAAGAUAAUAUCCAGCUUACAGCGGAAACGCGAAAUUGCUCUGGAAUCAAUGAAGUUAGGAUAUACCGACGUCUUCAAAACCGAAAUAAGUACUGGGAGGUCUUCUCGAAUGACCUAAACAUAAGAAUAUCAACAACAUUAGAUAAGAAUUAAAUAAUAUCAGAUAGUGCAUCCGUACUGCAAGCGCUACAAAGCAAUACAUUGUCAUAAUGUUAUCAAAUUGUGUUUGAUGAAAUGUAUAGAAAUAGGCUAUUGAUGAAACUUUUGUCCGUGACGUGAGACAGAUUAUAACAUUUGUUGAGACCAAAAGCUAGUUAGCAGUCGAUCGUAACAGAAUAUUACUUGUUUAUUGCUUUACGAAUUUGAUAAUGAUAACACAGCAAAAAAAUAUUUCACCUAGUUACCUACCUAUAUGAAUAAUUUGUAAUAUUAUUUGUACCUAUGAUUUACCAAUGGCACUAUAAUAAACACGAUACAAUAAUUAA